RNAcentral lists this transfer RNA (65 nucleotides) under Scapholeberis mucronata. Its description in RNAcentral is "tRNA-Met". The record is from RNAcentral. Lineage: Eukaryota; Metazoa; Arthropoda; Branchiopoda; Diplostraca; Daphniidae.
GGAUAGAUAAGCUAAAUAAAGCUGGCGGGCUCAUGACCCGCUGAUAGGUCUAUGCCUUCUCUCCA